GAAUCUUCCACAAUGACCGAAAGGUUGAUGGAGCGACGCCGCGUGCAUGAAGAAGCCCUUCGGGGUGUAAAAUGCUUUUAUGUGGGACGAAACAAUGACGGUACCACAAGAAUAAGGGGCUGCUAACCUCGUGCCAGCAGCAGCGGUAAUACGAGGGCCCCAAGCGUUAUCCGGAUUUAUUGGGCGUAAAGGGUCCGUAGGCGGUCUAUUGCAUCUCCUGUUAAAUCCCAAGGCUUAACCUUGGAACUGCGGGAGAGAUGGGUAGACUAGAGGCCGGUAGAGGCAAGCGGAAUUGUUGGUGUAGGGGUUAAAUCCGUUAAUAUCAGCAGGAACACCAAAUGCGAAGGCAG
Molecule: ribosomal RNA, 350 nt
Filed under: uncultured bacterium
Lineage: Bacteria
Description: bacterial SSU rRNA
Rfam family: Bacterial small subunit ribosomal RNA
Source: RNAcentral